GGCACCAUAGCAUAGUGGUUAGAGCACUGGCCCUGGACACCAGGGGAAGCAAGUUUGAGCCUUGCCUGGGCCU
This 73-nucleotide transfer RNA is filed under the name Otolemur garnettii (small-eared galago). It matches the Rfam family "tRNA". Rfam says of the family: Transfer RNA (tRNA) molecules are approximately 80 nucleotides in length. Their secondary structure includes four short double-helical elements and three loops (D, anti-codon, and T loops). Further hydrogen bonds mediate the characteristic L-shaped molecular structure. tRNAs have two regions of fundamental functional importance: the anti-codon, which is responsible for specific mRNA codon recognition, and the 3' end, to which the tRNAs corresponding amino acid is attached (by aminoacyl-tRNA synthetases). tRNAs cope with the degeneracy of the genetic code in two manners: having more than one tRNA (with a specific anti-codon) for a particular amino acid; and 'wobble' base-pairing, i.e. permitting non-standard base-pairing at the 3rd anti-codon position. The record is from Rfam by way of RNAcentral. Lineage: Eukaryota; Metazoa; Chordata; Mammalia; Primates; Galagidae.